CCUACGGGACGCUGCAGUGGGGAAUAUUGGACAAUGGGCGAAAGCCUGAUCCAGCCAUGCCGCGUGUGUGAAGAAGGCCUUCGGGUUGUAAAGCACUUUCAGUGGGGAAGAAAGCCUUGGGGCUAAUACCCUCGAGGAAGGACAUCACCCACAGAAGAAGCACCGGCUAACUCCGUGCCAGCAGCCGCGGUAAUACGGAGGGUGCGAGCGUUAAUCGGAAUUACUGGGCGUAAAGCGCGCGUAGGCGGUCUGAUAAGCCGGUUGUGAAAGCCCCGGGCUCAACCUGGGAACGGCAUCCGGAACUGUCAGGCUAGAGUGCAGGAGAGGAAGGUAGAAUUCCCGGUGUAGCGGUGAAAUGCGUAGAGAUCGGGAGGAAUACCAGUGGCGAAGGCGGCCUUCUGGACUGACACUGACGCUGAGGUGCGAAAGCGUGGGUAGCAAACAGGAUUAGAUACCCCUGUAGUC
This 465-nucleotide ribosomal RNA is filed under the name Vreelandella stevensii. RNAcentral describes it as "partial 16S ribosomal RNA". It matches the Rfam family "Bacterial small subunit ribosomal RNA", at positions 338 to 795 of the family's 1533-position model. Lineage: Bacteria; Pseudomonadati; Pseudomonadota; Gammaproteobacteria; Oceanospirillales; Halomonadaceae. The record is from RNAcentral.